RNAcentral lists this ribosomal RNA (596 nucleotides) under uncultured archaeon. RNAcentral describes it as "bacterial SSU rRNA". It matches the Rfam family "Archaeal small subunit ribosomal RNA", at positions 77 to 656 of the family's 1478-position model. The record is from RNAcentral.
CGUGGCGUACGGCUCCUUAACACGUAGUCAACCUGCCCUGGAGACAUGGACAACCCCGGGAAACUGGGAUUAAUCCGUGAUAGGUCAUCCCAUCUGGAAGGAGGGAUGGCUUAAAGGGGUGCGCGGCCUUCUUCCGUGCAUUCGCUCCAGGAUGGGACUGCGACCGAUCAGGCUGUUGGCGGGGUAAUGGCCCACCAAACCUGUAACCGGUACGGGCCUUGAGAGAGGUGGCCCGGAGAUGGACACUGAGAGAAGGGUCCAGGUCCUACGGGGCGCAGCAGGCGCGAAACCUUCGCAAUGCGCGAAAGCGUGACGAGGUUAAUCCGAGUGGCCUCCGCUGAGGAGGUCUUUUGUCAGCUGUAAAUAGGCGGGCGAAUAAGGGGAGGGCAAGCCUGGUGUCAGCCGCCGCGGUAAUACCAGCUCCUCGAGUGGUCGGGGCGAUUAUUGGGCCUAAAGCAUCCGUAGCCGGUUCCGUAGGUCCUCUGUUAAAUCCAUCAGCUCAACUGAUGACCUGCAGAGGAUACCGCGGGACUAGGAGGCGGGAGAGGCGGACGGUACUCCGCGUGUAGGGGUAAAAUCCUUUGAUCCGCGGAAGA